RNAcentral lists this ribosomal RNA (1370 nucleotides) under uncultured bacterium. Its description in RNAcentral is "bacterial SSU rRNA". It matches the Rfam family "Bacterial small subunit ribosomal RNA", at positions 20 to 1386 of the family's 1533-position model. The record is from RNAcentral.
UGGCUCAGGACGAAACGCUGGCGGCGUGCUUAACACAUGCAAGUCGAACGAUGAAACCUAGCUUGCUAGGUGGAUUAGUGGCGAACGGGUGAGUAAUACGUGAGUGACCUACCUUUGACCCUGGGAUAAGCCUGGGAAACUGGGUCUAAUACCGGAUACGACCAAUCUCCGCAUGGGGUGUUGGUGGAAAGCGUUAUGGAGUGGUUUUAGAUGGGCUCACGGCCUAUCAGCUUGUUGGUGAGGUAAUGGCUUACCAAGGCGACGACGGGUAGCCGGCCUGAGAGGGUGACCGGCCACACUGGGACUGAGACACGGCCCAGACUCCUACGGGAGGCAGCAGUGGGGAAUAUUGCACAAUGGGCGCAAGCCUGAUGCAGCGACGCCGCGUGAGGGAUGACGGCCUUCGGGUUGUAAACCUCUGUUAGCAUCGAAGAAGCGAAAGUGACGGUAGGUGCAGAGAAAGCGCCGGCUAACUACGUGCCAGCAGCCGCGGUAAUACGUAGGGCGCGAGCGUUGUCCGGAAUUAUUGGGCGUAAAGAGCUUGUAGGGCGGUUGGUCGCGUCUGCUGUGAAAGGCUGGGGCUUAACCCUGGUUUUGCAGUGGGUACGGGCUAACUAGAGUGCAGUAGGGGAGACUGGAAUUCCUGGUGUAGCGGUGGAAUGCGCAGAUAUCAGGAGGAACACCGAUGGCGAAGGCAGGUCUCUGGGCUGUAACUGACGCUGAGAAGCGAAAGCAUGGGGAGCGAACAGGAUUAGAUACCCUGGUAGUCCAUGCCGUAAACGUUGGGCACUAGGUGUGGGGGACAUUCCACGUUUUCCGCGCCGUAGCUAACGCAUUAAGUGCCCCGCCUGGGGAGUACGGCCGCAAGGCUAAAACUCAAAGAAAUUGACGGGGGCCCGCACAAGCGGCGGAGCAUGCGGAUUAAUUCGAUGCAACGCGAAGAACCUUACCAAGGCUUGACAUAUACUGGACUGCGUCAGAGAUGGCGUUUCCCUUCGGGGCUGGUAUACAGGUGGUGCAUGGUUGUCGUCAGCUCGUGUCGUGAGAUGUUGGGUUAAGUCCCGCAACGAGCGCAACCCUCGUUCUAUGUUGCCAGCACGUGAUGGUGGGGACUCAUAGGAGACUGCCGGGGUUAAACUCGGAGGAAGGUGGGGAUGACGUCAAAUCAUCAUGCCCCUUAUGUCUUGGGCUUCACGCAUGCUACAAUGGCCGGUACAGAGGGUCGCGAUACUGUGAGGUGGAGCUAAUCCCUAAAAGCCGGUCUCAGUUCGGAUUGGGGUCUGCAAACUCGACCCCCAUGAAAGUCGGAGUCGCUAGUAAUCGCAGAAUCAGCAAACGCUGCGGUGAAAUACGUUUCCCGGGCCUUGUAC